RNAcentral lists this ribosomal RNA (253 nucleotides) under uncultured bacterium. RNAcentral describes it as "partial 16S ribosomal RNA". It matches the Rfam family "Bacterial small subunit ribosomal RNA", at positions 524 to 776 of the family's 1533-position model. The record is from RNAcentral.
UACAGAGGGUGCGAGCGUUAAUCGGAAUUACUGGGCGUAAAGCGUGCGUAGACGGUUAUUUAAGUCGGGUGUGAAAGCCCCGGGCUCAACCUGGGAAUUGCAUUCGAGACUGAAUAGCUAGGGUACGGUAGAGGGAAGUGGAAUUUCCGGUGUAGCGGUGAAAUGCGUAGAUAUCGGAAGGAACAUCAGUGGCGAAAGCGACUUCCUGGACCAGUACCGACGUUCAGGCACGAAAGCGUGGGUAGCAAACAGG